GAUUCUCCUGCCUCAGUCUCCCAGGGAUGGAAGCUUACUUAUGCCAGGUGGCUGAUGGCCAAGGCCAAGCCCAAAGACCACUGCAGCCCAGUCCUCAGGAAAUGAAGUCCAUCUCUGCAGCACUGGAGGAGGAAGACUUCUCCAAUCAAGCAACGAGAAGGCAUACCUGGCAUCCUUCUCUGCUCAGAGAACAUGCUGUUAGGUCUACUCAGUAAACAUUUCCUACCAAUGACUUAGCUGAUACAAAAUAUCAAUUUCAAACUUCCUCUGACACACAUACUACUAUCCCUGAAACUAUUUUCACAAAGAAAAAUUAUUUCACAUCCUCAACUAAAAUUUUAUCAAUUUUCAUUUUUAUUAUUUUAUCACAGUCUAUAUUAAGCCUAAUAAAAAUAAAUAUUUGGAUAAUAUUUAUUCAUUCAUCCAUUUAAGACUUCAGUGAAAAUUUACUGAAUAUCUCUUACGUGUCAGACACAUUAACCUAUGGUCAAGUGCUUUAUUUAAGCAGUUUGGGAGGCCAAGGCAGGAGAAUUGCUUGAGCCCAGGAGUUGGAGACCAGCCUGGGCAGCAAAGUGAGACCUCAUCUCUAAAAACAAACAAACAAAAAAAUUACCCAGGUGUGUUGGCAUGUGCCUGUGGUCCCAGCUACAUGAAACUGAGGCAAGAGGAUCGCUUGAGCCUGGGAGGUUGAGGCUGCAGUGAGUGAGCCAUGAUCACACCACUGACUCCAACCAGGGGGACAGAGAGAGACGCUGUCCCAAAUAAAUAAACAAAUAAAAAGUAAAUGAAUGAAUGAAUGAA
Molecule: long non-coding RNA, 801 nt
Filed under: Pan troglodytes (chimpanzee)
Lineage: Eukaryota; Metazoa; Chordata; Mammalia; Primates; Hominidae
Description: long non-coding RNA NONPTRT012659
Source: RNAcentral